UACGGAGGGGACUAGCGUUGUUCGGAAUUACUGGGCGUAAAGCGCGCGUAGGCGGAUUUGCAAGUCGGGGGUGAAAGCCCGAGGCUCAACCUCGGAACUGCCCUCGAUACUGCAAAUCUCGAGUCCGAGAGAGGUGAAUGGAAUUCCUAGUGUAGAGGUGAAAUUCGUAGAUAUUAGGAAGAACACCAGUGGCGAAGGCGGCUCACUGGCUCGGUACUGACGCUGAGGCGCGAAAGCGUGGGGAGCAAACAGG
Molecule: ribosomal RNA, 253 nt
Filed under: uncultured bacterium
Lineage: Bacteria
Description: partial 16S ribosomal RNA
Rfam family: Bacterial small subunit ribosomal RNA
Source: RNAcentral